This 465-nucleotide ribosomal RNA is filed under the name uncultured bacterium. RNAcentral describes it as "partial 16S ribosomal RNA". It matches the Rfam family "Bacterial small subunit ribosomal RNA", at positions 28 to 507 of the family's 1533-position model. The record is from RNAcentral.
GACGAACGCUGGCGGCGUGCUUAACACAUGCAAGUCGUACGGUAAGGCCCUUUCGGGGGUACACGAGUGGCGAACGGGUGAGUAACACGUGAGUAACCUGCCCACAACUUUGGGAUAACGCUAGGAAACUGGUGCUAAUACUGGAUAUGUGCCCCUGCUGCAUGGUGGGGGUUGGAAAGCUCCGGCGGUUGUGGAUGGACUCGCGGCCUAUCAGCUUGUUGGUGGGGUAGUGGCCUACCAAGGCGGCGACGGGUAGCCGGCCUGAGAGGGUGACCGGCCACAUUGGGACUGAGAUACGGCCCAGACUCCUACGGGAGGCAGCAGUGGGGAAUAUUGCACAAUGGGCGCAAGCCGGAUGCAGCAACGCCGCGUGCGGGAGGACGGCCUUCGGGUUGGAAACCGCUUUCAGCAGGGACGAAGCUUUUUGUGACGGUACCUGCAGAAGAAGCACCGGCUAACUACGUG